RNAcentral lists this ribosomal RNA (468 nucleotides) under uncultured bacterium. RNAcentral's name for it is "partial 16S ribosomal RNA". It matches the Rfam family "Bacterial small subunit ribosomal RNA", at positions 28 to 507 of the family's 1533-position model. The record is from RNAcentral.
GACGAACGCUGGCGGCGUGCUUAACACAUGCAAGUCGAACGGAAAGGCCCUGCUUUUGUGGGGUGCUCGAGUGGCGAACGGGUGAGUAACACGUGGGUAACCUGCCCUUGACUUUGGGAUAACUUCAGGAAACUGGGGCUAAUACCGGAUAGGAGCUCCUGCUGCAUGGUGGGGGUUGGAAAGUUUCGGCGGUUGGGGAUGGACUCGCGGCUUAUCAGCUUGUUGGUGGGGUAGUGGCUUACCAAGGCUUUGACGGGUAGCCGGCCUGAGAGGGUGACCGGCCACAUUGGGACUGAGGUACGGCCCAGACUCCUACGGGAGGCAGCAGUGGGGAAUAUUGCACAAUGGGCGGAAGCCUGAUGCAGCAACGCCGCGUGCGGGAUGACGGCCUUCGGGUUGUAAACCGCUUUCGCCUGUGACGAAGCGUGAGUGACGGUAAUGGGUAAAGAAGCACCGGCUAACUACGUG